RNAcentral lists this small RNA (29 nucleotides) under Bombyx mori (domestic silkworm). Its description in RNAcentral is "ovarian small RNA-28755". The record is from RNAcentral. Lineage: Eukaryota; Metazoa; Arthropoda; Insecta; Lepidoptera; Bombycidae.
UCGCCUUGGUGAUCUAGAUUAUUAACGGC